AAAUAGUUGCGGGGGGACGCAUUGGCGUUGAGAAGGUUAAAACCUGACCCUUUGAACCUGUUCGUUAAGACGAACGUAGGGAGCAAAGUACAUAGCGGU
This 99-nucleotide non-coding RNA is filed under the name Paenisporosarcina sp. HGH0030. RNAcentral describes it as "TPP riboswitch aptamer (THI element)". It matches the Rfam family "TPP riboswitch aptamer (THI element)". From Rfam's summary of the family: Vitamin B(1) in its active form thiamin pyrophosphate (TPP) is an essential coenzyme that is synthesised by coupling of pyrimidine and thiazole moieties in bacteria. The previously detected thiamin-regulatory element, thi box was extended, resulting in a new, highly conserved RNA secondary structure, the THI element, which is widely distributed in eubacteria and also occurs in some archaea. Lineage: Bacteria; Bacillati; Bacillota; Bacilli; Caryophanales; Caryophanaceae. The record is from Rfam by way of RNAcentral. RNAcentral also lists the same sequence under 1 other name.